AAAACAUGUCUUUUUGAAAAUAAUAUAAAGUCUAAUCUGCCCACUGAUUUUAAAUUGAAGGGCUGCAGUAUAUUGACUGUACAAAGGUAGCAUAAUCAUUAGUCAUUUAAUUGAUGACUUGUAUGAAAGAUUGAAUGAGAUAUAUACUGUCUCUAAUUUAAUUAUAAAAUUUAAUUUUUUUAUUAAAAAGUUAAGAUAUUUUAAAAAGACGAGAAGACCCUAUAGAGUUUAAUUGAUUAUUAAUUUGAUUUUAUUUUGAAAAAUAAUAAUGAAAUUUAAUAGUUUAUUUUAUUGGGGUGAUAAAAAAAUAAAUAAAACUUUUUUUAAUAAAAAACAUUUAUAAGUGAAUAAAUGAUCCAAUAAUAUUGAUUAUAAGAAAAAAUUACCUUAGGGAUAACAGCGUAAUUUUUUUUUUUAGUUCAAAUAAGAAAAAAAGUUUGCGACCUCGAUGUUGGAUUAAGAUAAAAUUUAAAUGUAGAAGUUUAAAAUUUUGAUCUGUUCGAUCAUUAAAAUCUUACAUGAUCU
This 525-nucleotide ribosomal RNA is filed under the name Acrapex kafula. RNAcentral describes it as "partial 16S ribosomal RNA". The stretch from base 393 to 525 matches the Rfam family "Bacterial large subunit ribosomal RNA", at positions 2473 to 2606 of the family's 2925-position model. The record is from RNAcentral. Lineage: Eukaryota; Metazoa; Arthropoda; Insecta; Lepidoptera; Noctuidae.